Non-coding RNA from Heterocephalus glaber (naked mole-rat), 1500 nucleotides. NCBI's taxonomy places the organism in Eukaryota, Metazoa, Chordata, Mammalia, Rodentia, Bathyergidae. The record is from RefSeq and is a predicted model, not a curated record.
UCUUAUUGUGUAUUAUUCCUCAUGCAAGGGGAUGCUAUAGGCUGAAAUUGUGUCCUUCUGAAGUUCUUUUGUUGAAGUUCUAGUUCUAGUACCUCAGAAGAUGACCUUGUUUCAAGAAAGAGUAUUUGCAGAAGUAAUGAAGUGAAAGUGGCUUCAUCAGGGUGGGCUCUAAUCUGAUAGGACUUGUGUCUUCAUGAAGAGGGGGCCUUUGGGCAUGGAGACACACAUAGACAGGGAAUGGUAUGAAGAACACAAGGAGGAGCUGGUCAUGCACAAGCCCAGGGCAAAGGCCCAGAGCCAAGACUUCUCUCAGGGGCCUGGAAAGGACCAGUCCUACCAGCAUCUUGACCUUGGGCUUUCAGCCUCCAGAACUGAGACAGUAAUUUCUGCUGUUGAAGCUCCUGUUUUGUGGUACUUUGUUAUGGUUGCCGUGGUGAACUUGUACAAGGGAUGCCGCCAAUAAGCAGAUAGGAAUGAAUUUUUUUGUUUUUUUAGAAAAAGGGUUGUGAUAAGUGCUCUGGAGAAGAAGAUAGGCUGAAGAAAAAAAGUUGGGAAAGGGCUGCUUGGAGAUCACAUGAGGCAACUUUCACAGACCAGAAGGAAAUGAGACAGCAGCUGAAGCAGGCUUUAUCCUGGGCCCUGACAGCUCUCAGCUCAUAAUCUAGUGGGAAGAAGAGACAUAUAGCAACCAAACAGAUAAAUGUGUAUUAAAACUGCCAACAAGGAAACCAGAGAUCUUGGACACAGUGACAGAAAAACAAAUCCCACCAACACCAGAGGCAGCCAGGACCAGCUGACACCUUCAGGGCCACCUUUUGGGACCCUGAUAAGAAGACCCAGAUGACGGACCUCUGACCCACACAGAUCGUUAGGAAGCAAGCUGGCCUUGCAGGUUCAGCUUGUCGCAGGUGGUUAUGCACCGUGGAAAAGGACUGCAUAGAGGAUGGUCAAAGAGGGCCUCUCUGAGAGGCUGACCCCAACCUGAGAUGGAAGGUGAGGAGGAAUCAGGCCUGGGAAGAAGGAUGAGGAAAAAAGUUCCAGAUGAAGGACUCCAGUAGGAACCAAGCCGGUGAGUUCCCUGGGAGGGAGUGCACUGUGGAAGUGUUGCGGAGCCAUUUAACACCAAGAUCUAAGACAGGGCUGCCCCUCUCCAGCCCAGAGCCAGACCUCUGAACGUGGGAUAAACCACCAUGAGAAAGGGAUGCCCAGUAGAGUGACUUAAGGAGGAUCAAAGAUGUUCUUCCAUCGACUGGGCAGAAGAGAGCUUGGGAGAUGGUAGGAGCAGAUGUUGGCAGGACAGAUGUGCCAUGUUCAGCACGUGGCGUCCUUCUCCUCUCUCCGCUGUCUCCCGGCCUGGGGCCAGGGCAAAGAGGGGCUGGAGCACAGAGAGCAUCCAUACUUAAAAACAAACCCAGACAGGGCUGUGGCGGUUAAAGGACUGAGUCUCCUCUCAUCCCACUAGGCAGAGUCUGGGCGCAAGGUCCCAAGCUGGAUCCCCGA